This 246-nucleotide long non-coding RNA is filed under the name Elaeis guineensis (African oil palm). RNAcentral's name for it is "long non-coding RNA (EGUI_LNC062943)". The record is from RNAcentral. Lineage: Eukaryota; Viridiplantae; Streptophyta; Magnoliopsida; Arecales; Arecaceae.
ACCUUGGGCGACAUCUUUCCAAACCUCUCCGACGGUCGAGCUUCUGCAAUAUUUUCAAGUUCUAUCGACAGAUAAAUUCCCCCAGCUUCUUCCACAAGUGUCGAUCGGAUUCCCCAGAUGAACGAACUCCUGCCGCAUCUCCCCGGCUUCUCCAGUGAUAAGCUUCUUCGGUCGUCAAUCAGGCUACCCCAAGUGCUCUCUGGAUUCUACUAUCGACCGACCUCCUACAAGGGUCAACCGUUCUCC